UUCUAAAUUUUUCACUGUAAGGUAGGUUUGUUCUAUCUGAAAUUUGGUAAUUUGUCCUGUUGUAUCCUGUUAAAUUUUCGUCAACAGGAGCCAGAGGGUAAU
Molecule: long non-coding RNA, 102 nt
Organism: Etheostoma spectabile (orangethroat darter)
Lineage: Eukaryota; Metazoa; Chordata; Actinopteri; Perciformes; Percidae
Exons: 3
Source: RefSeq, a predicted model, not a curated record